GUGUCAGCCGCCGCGGUAACACGUAGGGGGCGAGCGUUGUCCGGAAUUACUGGGCGUAAAGGGUGCGUAGGCGGCAUAUCAAGUCAGGUGUGAAAUCCCACGGCUUAACCGUGGACUUGCACAUGAAACUGGUAUGCUUGAGUACAGGAGAGGAAAGCGGAAUUCCUAGUGUAGCGGUGAAAUGCGUAGAUAUUAGGAGGAACACCAGUGGCGAAGGCGGCUUUCUGGACUGUAACUGACGCUGAGGCACGAAAGCGUGGGGAGCAAACAGGAUUAGAUACCCUGGUAGUCCACGCUGUAAACGAUGGAUACUAGGUGUAGGGGCUAAAGUCUCUGUGCCGGAGUUAACGCAUUAAGUAUCCCGCCUGGGGAGUACGGCCGCAAGGCUGAAACUCAAAUAAAUUGACGG
This 409-nucleotide ribosomal RNA is filed under the name uncultured bacterium. Its description in RNAcentral is "bacterial SSU rRNA". It matches the Rfam family "Bacterial small subunit ribosomal RNA", at positions 505 to 916 of the family's 1533-position model. The record is from RNAcentral.